AUCUGUCCUGCAUGUCUCCAUACCUCUUCCAUCCACCUCAUCUCCCCACCUCACCUUUCUUUUUCUUUGUUUGGCUUUAUAUAGGUGCUGGGAGUCCCUACAGAGGAUACUUGGCCGGGAGUCUCCAAGCUACCUAACUACAAUCCAGGCUGGGCAGGGUUCCUGAAGCUGAAGACCUGGCCUCCCAGAUGCUAAAAGGCUUUCCCAGAGACCGCGUCUCCGCCCAGGAAGCACUUGUUCAUGAUUAUUUCAGCGCCCUGCCAUCUCAGCUGUACCAGCUUCCUGAUGAGGAGUCUUUGUUUACAGUUUCAGGAGUGAGGCUAAAGCCAGAAAUGUGUGACCUUUUGGCCUCCUACCAGAAAGGCCACCACCCAGCCCAGUUUAGCAAAUGGUGGUGAAAAGAAAGGGCGAGAUCACCAAGGUUCUUCCAGGGCUGUAUUUCUGCAGUUUCGGUUUUCAUUUGCUUCAGCUUACUAAGAAGCUUCAAAUCUAACUCCAUACUGAACAAGGGGUU
This 514-nucleotide small RNA is filed under the name Pan troglodytes (chimpanzee). RNAcentral's name for it is "retained intron". Lineage: Eukaryota; Metazoa; Chordata; Mammalia; Primates; Hominidae. The record is from RNAcentral.